GUCGAGCGCAGGAAUCGACGGAACCCUUCGGGGGGAAGUCGACGGAAUGAGCGGCGGACGGGUGAGUAACACGUAAAGAACCUGCCCUCAGGUCUGGGAUAACCACGAGAAAUCGGGGCUAAUACCGGAUGGGUCAUCGGACCGCAUGGUCCGAGGAUGAAAGGCGCUUCGGCGUCGCCUGGGGAUGGCUUUGCGGUGCAUUAGCUAGUUGGUGGGGUAAUGGCCCACCAAGGCGACGAUGCAUAGCCGACCUGAGAGGGUGAUCGGCCACACUGGGACUGAGACACGGCCCAGACUCCUACGGGAGGCAGCAGUAGGGAAUCUUCCACAAUGGACGAAAGUCUGAUGGAGCAACGCCGCGUGAACGAUGAAGGCCUUCGGGUCGUAAAGUUCUGUUGUAAGGGAAGAACAAGUGCCGCAGGCAAUGGCGGCACCUUGACGGUACCUUGCGAGAAAGCCACGGCUAACUACGUGCCAGCAGCCGCGGUAAUACGUAGGUGGCAAGCGUUGUCCGGAAUUAUUGGGCGUAAAGCGCGCGCAGGCGGCCUCUUAAGUCUGAUGUGAAAGCCCCCGGCUCAACCGGGGAGGGCCAUUGGAAACUGGGAGGCU
RNAcentral lists this ribosomal RNA (609 nucleotides) under Exiguobacterium sp. CS401063. Its description in RNAcentral is "bacterial SSU rRNA". It matches the Rfam family "Bacterial small subunit ribosomal RNA", at positions 61 to 642 of the family's 1533-position model. Lineage: Bacteria; Bacillati; Bacillota; Bacilli; Caryophanales. The record is from RNAcentral.